This is a non-coding RNA of Podarcis lilfordi (Lilford's wall lizard), 3942 nucleotides long. The record is from the annotation of a GenBank genome assembly. NCBI's taxonomy places the organism in Eukaryota, Metazoa, Chordata, Lepidosauria, Squamata, Lacertidae.
GCCGCUUCCGCUUCCCUCGCUUUUGCCUCAGGGCGGUUGAGUAGCGAAGAGCCGCCGCCAGAGUGGCAGCAACAACAGAAACAGAAAUAAUUACACAAAGAAGCCACCGUGGCAUUAUACAAACAGAAGUAAUAGCAAAAUAUAACAAUAAAUCAUUUUUUAUUCGAGCGGGCAUAUUAACUGAAGGGUAGUUUUAACUAUUUUUAAAAAUCUUCUUUAUUUCUUGUGCACUUUUUAGAGAAAAAUUAUAUAUAUUAUAUAUAUAUAUAUAUGCUUUUAUGUAGCACUGCUCUAGGACCUCCCUAUCCUUUGGAGAGUCAUUGUAAUCAAAAGCUGUAACUGCCUCAAAAAACCCUUAAAUCAAUGACUCCUGUAUGCCAGAGAAAGAUGCUCUACUUGCCUCGCUUUUUACAGCUCCCAGCUGGGUGUGCAUCUUUAUACCUCCAAACCAGUGAACUGCAGGUGGUUCUAGAAAUGGGUCUUGCCAUGAUUAAUACUGUAUAGCCUUAGCUUGGAAUCCCAGCUCCACUCUCACUUCCAGAGAAAGACAUUCAUAAAUAAAAUAAAUAAAUAAAUAAUGAGAAGUCUCUUUUUACUUUCUUUUUAGAUUUAUCCUGAUGCUAAGAAACGGUGGCACAGCCUGAGUUCCAGAAAAGGGGGUGAAUUUUGUGCCUUCCAAAAGACAAAAGAAUGAUCAUCAGUCUGAAGGUCAGCCCUCCAUUGUGAAUAUUCAUGUUUUAGCAUUAAAUCCAUAGCCAUUCCAACAGAGCUUAAAAGCAGUGAAAAAACAGUUUCUUGCAGAUUAUUUUAAUAAGAAGCCAUAUCCCACUGAAAAGUAGUUACUGCUGUGCUUGGAAAGCUGAUGUUGCAUCAUUUGGGGGGAGGGGGGAGAAAGCGACACAUCUGCCUAAAGGCAAUAAGAAAUCUUAAGCCAUCCGUGCUUUGGGGCUUCAAUAUGCCCGAACUUAAAAAUGUGAAGCCCAGUUUCAGGUUAACGUGAAUUGGAGGAUGUGUGAGUUGUCCCCCCCCCCCCCAAGCAAUAUAAGGCAAUCAAGUUUGCCUGUUCAGCCUUCUGUCAUGAAUUCUUUAGUUGAGAUUUCUGCAUUCCAUGGGAUGGUGGAAUAGAUGACCCUUGGGUCUCUUCCAACUCUACAAUUCUAUGAUUCUGUUAAUCUUAAUCUCCCAACCCAACCAGAGUCCAUGCCUUUCCAACAUUUUUGGGACAGUGGGCACAUCUGGAAUUUUGAGAAAGUGCUGUGGGUGCCAGUCACAAAAUGGUUGUUGUGGGGUGUGUUGCAUAACACAAAAUAGCUGCCAUAUUUAAAAGAGCAGAGAAGGACAGGCACCUGAAAUGGUGUUGGUAUGCUUCUCCGCCAAUGGAAAAAUGACUCCUACCUGAAUCACUACUACACAGAGUGAAGUUCUUUGCACCUUUCCACUGUUUGGGAUGGGAGUGUGAAUAUCCAAUCCUGGCACCCAACAAACAUGGGCAUGUGUGUCCUACCCCCUUUCAACUUCCAUUCACCUGAAUGCAUGGUUAAAAGGCUCUUGGUGGAAUCACUUCUCACCCGUCUCUCUUUCCUUUCCUUCUCUGGACAGCCUUCAUCAUAAAUGUCAAAUUUCUAUUUUGUUUACUUUUUAAAUGAAACUCAAUUUCCUGAAAUGCUCUGAUCUUGUAUCUGCUGCUUUCUGAGCGACUGUCAUUGGCACUCUGGUACAAUAAUGAAACAAACUAAAAUUAAAAGCUGUCUUCCUGUGUAUUUGGAAAGUGUGCAGAUUUCUGUGCCAGUUCUGUCAGACAAAUAAAUUGCCUAUCCUCCAGCAGCAUCGAUCCAGGGUUGCAGUGGGGAAUGGUUCUCAUGGCACAUGUAAGCUGAAUUCCAACCUGACUCCCCAAUCAUCAUGUUCCAGAGUAGCUUAUUACUUUAAUAUUGAGAAAUAGUCCUCAGAUGUAUAUUAAGGCUUGUAUUCUGAGCAAUCAUGGUAACAUAUGGAAGAAGAUAGAUGUAAUGGUGCCCUUGUAAUGGUGCCCUUGUAUGCUAAUGCACAGGCUCUUUGGGGAGUGGGCAAUGGGGUCACAUCAAUGCUGACAAACAGUCAAGGCAAAUGACUUUGAUGCAGGGGGCAAUGAGAAGGGUUCAAAGGAAGAUUUAAGGUCCUUGGGCGUCUCAAGGGUCUGUUCAUGCAUCUUUCAGGUGACCAGAAAUCCCUAGGCACACCCCUUGCUGCUUUUUUUAGGAUCUUGAAUGGAUUCCCUGCUCAAAGCUUUAUGUUUAAGUGAUGUAAGCAGUGCUUUUUUAAAAAGAAAAGAAAAAAAAGGUGCCAGUACUCACCAUGAAGUUGUUAUAGUAAGUGCCACAGUUUUAACGUUUUGGGGGGGAGGUGCCGGUACUGUGUAUCCUCGAGUACCCCCAGAAAAAAAGCACUGGAUGCAAGACCAGUAAAAGUUACAUUGCUUUCUCUUUGGUGGCUCCAAAGCUAUGGGACAUUUGCCCAGUGAUUCUUCUUGACGUUAAGCCUUCUUGUUCAGAUGAGCUUUUCGGAAGCUAUAAUGUCAUUUGCUCCCAGUGUCUAUUAUUCUCAUUGCCUUGUUUUGCAUAAGAUGUAUUGAGCUGUAUUAUGAUAUAUAACUAUAUUUUAUAAAUUACAUUGAUGUUAAUUAUAUUAUAAUCUCUCUUUUUAAAAAUCUUGUUUUAUUUAACUGCAAUGUUAAUUCAAUUAUGUGUUUCAGUAAGAAUACUGAUCCUGCAGUUGUGGCUCCAAGUCCAAUAUCCAAUGGUACACAUUAGAUCAUGAGCUACUAUAAGUUUUUGGAGAGGAUGUGAUUUAAAUUUGUUAAAUGCACUGAUUCUUACUUCAAGAGGCAAUGCUGUUUGCAAUGGGCUAUAUAAUGGCAGCUUCUUAAGUAUUCAGGGGCAAAAACUUUUAGGCUUUUAUGAGUGAAGAUCAACAUCCUGUCUUUUAUGCAGAAGACAGAAGCUGAUUGCCCAGACUGUCCAAGAUACUUGCACACACAAUGCAAUUUCAGUAGUCUAGCCUAAAGAUUAUUGUGAAAUGAAUCCAUUUCAUUCAAGAACAAGGUUAUUGCAAUUUCAUAUAUCCUGGAGUAUCAGAGUAUGAUUUCAGAUUCAUCUAGAUUUGGUGAAAGUGGUCUCCCUCUAAUUAAAGAGACAAGAGAUUUGUGUGUAAAUUGUCAAACUAAGUUUUAGAUUGUUCAGAAAAAAGAACAGGAGAAAACCCUCCCUUGUGUGAUUGAGCUAGUGUAGCCUUACUUAACCACCAUAUUUUCAUGUUUGGAGCCAAGAUUUUGUAAUUGCAACCAUUAUUUCUAAUCACAACCCUUGUUUUCUAACAAAAGGACCAAAGCAGGUUGUCAAACAAGAAUUCUUGCCGUUCUCUGGCUGUUUCCUGCUGCAGAGUCCAUUUGGUAAAUGGACAUUGUUCACGGAACGGCAUAAAAGUGUGUUGUAAUCUGCUAGGUUUAAACACAGCAUGUGAGCCAAAGGGUUGAAAUGAAAGUGAGCCAAAUACCAAUUAGGAAACAAGGCAUCAUUUAUUUAAAUAGAAUGGCUAACCAUUAGGAAAGGUUCUUCAGCUGAGGAAAGACUCGACUACUUACUCUCCUCUACCAAGACGUUAAGGGGCAUAUUUCAUGUAAACCUCUAUUGCAAUGAGAUGCUCACAAUUACUCUAACCUAGUUAGUUUUAAGUCUAGGAAUAGCUGACAGAAGCUACAUAGCAACACAAACAGCUUGCUUGGUAGCCAAUUCUUAUUUCCAAAAUAAAGAAAUUUGAGGUCUGAAGGCAUAUAAGAACAAGAGGAUUUUGGGGAGGGGGGAAUUUUUGAGCAUUUUUUUUUUUUAAAUCCACAUUUCCCCAGUAUGCCAUUACAUGAAAGAGCUGGUUACCAUGAAGGGGUGUGGUGUGUUUAUUUUAAGGGGG